Molecule: long non-coding RNA, 2470 nt
Filed under: Meleagris gallopavo (turkey)
Lineage: Eukaryota; Metazoa; Chordata; Aves; Galliformes; Phasianidae
Description: lncRNA (ENSMGAG00000018805.1)
Source: RNAcentral
CCUAAAAACUCAUAUGUGUAAAAAUAUGGCACAUUUCAUUUCAGCAUUGUUAUUCAGACUCUUUCAUAUUUGUUAUAGGAAAUUCCAAAACUGUUUUUCUCAGUGAUGAAUUGCAGUAUUUAAAAUUUCUUUUUUCUUUUUCCUUUUUUUUUUUUUUUUUCUAGGGAAAUAUAUAUAUAUAUAUUUAAUACUAGAUUUGUCAUAGCUAUCCCAACAUUUAUUGUCUCUUACAGGUCAGCUUUAAUUGCAAGCUCCCUGAAAGGCCAACUUCAGCACUACCCAUUGCAUAGCCCUAUAUUGCUGAUACUGAAACAGCAGUUCCUACCAGCUCUAUGGUAGAUACACAGGGACCUGCAGCAGUGCUUUUUGCUCUGAAGCUACCUACAGCACCCCUGCCUGUGGCUAAUUCCUCCUCGGGCUUGCACUCUCCACGCAAUCCCCAGUGGAUUGGGGAAGAAAAGAAAGAAUUGGAAUCAACUCAAAGAAAGAACUAUGAACUAUGGGCAAGAAAAUAUAAGCAAAUGCAAUUGAGAUGCAGGCAGAUUUUUUUUUCCCCACAGACAGAUUUUUGAAUAAUAAAAUUAAUAUAAAUAUUGGACUCUUAGAAAUAAAAUGCUUACUAUUAAAAUCAACCCCCAAGCAUAUACUAUGAGAAACCUUUCUUCUUUUACACAGCUGUCAACCCUUUGGAGAUUUUAAAUUGGAAUUUGUCUAGUGUAAAUCGUAGUUUCUACUUAAAAAGAAGUAUCAGAAACAUUGAGCUUUUGUCUGGAGUUUUUAAAGCGUGGGAAAACUAAUAUCAUUUCUGUACUAAUGUAGAGUAAUAAAUUUUCACGUCCUCCAAAUUUUGGCAAAAACUGGUUAUGUCUUUUGAUCCAUGAGAUAUUUUGCUAUAUAACACUGUCAUACACUUUCUCGUAAGAAAAAAAAAUUCUCUCCUCUGGACUAUUUGACAUGGCUAUUUCAUUUGUAACUACUAGUGCCUCCAUCCAGACUGGCUGUGUUUCAGUCACCAGUGUCUUCACAGAGUUUCUACAUGAAUUAUUGGGCUGUGUUUAGUAUCUAGUAGUCUAAGGAGUUGAAAAGUGUGGUUCUAAUGUUUGACUGCAACUUGAAAGGUUCUUCAGAUACAUAGCCAGGCGUAACAAUGACCUGUUUGUGGUUGCAGCAAAGCAAAGCCCAUAUUGAACUCAGCAGAAAUAAGUCUCUGGGUGACAAAAGGAUAUUCCUUGUCAGCCCCCAAGCAUGUGCAGCAUGGCUUCCAGGUUCAACAUGAAAGAGUAGUUUUAGAGGAUGAGAAUAACAAGAGUCAGCUAUGUUAACCAUAUCAGUGGCAUUUGGGAGUAGCUCAGAACUGAUAGGAUAUGCAUAAUUGGACCCAGUUUGAAUUCUUAAGUUAGACAGGCUUGCACAAAUGUUUUUAGCUAGCUAGGAAGUCUUUGGAAAAAAAUGACUUCAAGCAAAUGGGAAUCUUUUAAAGGUUUCCUCUGUAUCAAGAGGAUUUUUUUCUGAGUUGUGUUCGUUUAUUUUCAUUCAACACUGAUUGAAGUCUUCUUAUUUAGCAAAAUAAUAUGAAUGAUAACUAAUAAAGGAUUUUUUGUGUGUGUGCUCCUCCUUGAUGUCUCCAGAGCUACAGAUCAAUUGCUAGUGUUCAGUGACUCCUGCUCAAAAGCGUAGGGCCUGUGGGUGGGUCUUCUUUUAUGGCUGACACUUGUACAAUGCAUAAUCUGAGAUGACACUGACCCUGGCAGCCUUAUGGGAAUAAAAUUUUCAGCAGGAUGAAUUGUUCCUGAAUGGUUUCUUCGAUGUACUGUGUUACAUGCCCAAACAUUUUUUUCAUCAUCUUGAGCAUAUGCCCUAAAUUUCCUAUCUGCUCUUUUUAUUGCAUGAGUUUGAUUGUAGCCAACAGCAAAGGUCAAAAGACAUUUUACUGUUUCUAUUUCUGUAUUUCUGUUAAGAUGAAUUAAAUUGUUGGUGCUGUAAAGUGACUUGUUAAAAAGCUUAUGCUGCAAGACUUCAACUGGUAUAAACUGAAGCUGAACUGCAUCAGUUUAAACCAGAUGGUCCAGGGAGACUAUGUGGUCCAAAGGGUAGGGUAUUGAUUUCGAAACCAAGAAAGAGAGUUUGAUUCCCUGAAGCCAGGGAAGCUCCAGGAUUUUAAAUAAUGUGUUCAUCUUACUCUGUCUCAGUUUUUUCCUGUAUGAGUGGUGGAGUGGCUCUGUAUUUUGAGAUCUUUUGCACUCAAUUUUUCAACGAUGCGGUCUUAUUUUCACAUCUAACAUUAGUCAGUAAAACUGCCUGUUCAGUCUAUGUUAUAGGCAGGUUCUGAAGUUUAGGAAUGCUGUGGUACCACUGUACAGACAAUUAUGUUUACCACUGUCCAUGAGUGGUAGAAUGCAUAAUUUCUCAGUCCAUAAUUGAACCAGCACUGUUUUGUAUUUCAAAGAGGGCUCAAUUUAUUUCCUUCUUA